This 4051-nucleotide long non-coding RNA is filed under the name Callithrix jacchus (white-tufted-ear marmoset). Its description in RNAcentral is "lncRNA (ENSCJAG00000071159.1)". Lineage: Eukaryota; Metazoa; Chordata; Mammalia; Primates; Cebidae. The record is from RNAcentral.
CUUAUCUUUAUAUUCUGUAGCAUGUAAAGUAUAACCAAUGUUAGGCUUUCUUAAUUUGGUGAUCCACAAGACGCCAUGGUGUGGUAGAUGGAUUUAAAAAUGUUUCUAAAUCUUUAUACACCUACCACCACCACCACCACUCCCUUCCCUAACCUGUGAAAUGGGAGUUUGAAGUUCCUCUAAUAAAGAAGUGGGGUCUAUUUUCUUUGCUCUUGAAAAGGGCAAAGGAAGGUCUGGUCUUAUAACUUGCUUUAGCCAAGGCAAUAUAGCAGAGUGACUCCCUUUCAUUCCCUUCCUUGGAAAUUGCCUACAUGUGAACAAAUCCCAUUUAGCCUGCUAGAUGAUAAGAGCCACAUGGCCCAAUUAUUCUUAUCACCCCUGCCAAACAUCAGCCAACUGGCCAGCAUGUGAGAAAAGCCAUCUUAGAUUGGCCAACCCCUGGCCUACCUGCCAGCCCUCAACAGAUGCAUAUACAAGCCAGCCAAGAUCAGCUAAAUCUAGCCCAGGUUAGCAGACCCAUCCAGCUGCUCCAUGUACUGUUGAUCAAUAAUAAAUGCUUAUUGUUUUAAGCCACUGAGUUUACAGAUGCUUUGCUAUACAGCAAUAGCUAACGUCACAAUGUGCCUUUUGUGGUGCAUAUGUUUUACUCCCUGUCUAUGGAACAGCUCAAACUCCAUUGCCUUGGCUGAAAUCGCUGAAACUCUGGCAUGUUCAGAAGCCAUCAGAUACUCAAGGGAACACAUACCUGCCCUUGCUACUGCUCAAGUAACGAGGAAGAAAGUAGAUUGAGCCAGCAACACCUCUUUGGGAUCCUGUAGCUAGCAUGAGGACUGCUGGGGGGGGCACUGGAGAGGGACGACUGGAUCGGAGAAGGGGCUUCAUCGCGAUUGGCUUGCUGCUUCUGUCGCGAUGCAGUGGCGCUUCGCCUUGGCUGCAGAGGCUGGUGGCAGCCUCCACCUUCUUUCCGCUCCUCCAGAAACAUCCUGCAGGGGUCGGUCAGUCACACCAGCAACAGCUGGGAGGCGCCCCUUCCUCAGCGGCCUGAGCUUAGCCUGGCGUCUCCUUCUCUAAAACCCUGCUCCCAGCAGCAGCCGGGCAGCCCUCCCUCCUCCGCAGGUAUCAACAUCUAUAAACAUUCUUAAAGUCCUUGAUACAUUUGCCAAAUUGCUUUCCAGACGAAUUAUCAUGAUUUACACUCUCACUGGUUAUGUGCGAAAAUGCUUCCAGCAACCCUCUCCCAUACGAUUGUUGUUGCUAAUUAACUUAUCAUUGUCUUUGGUUGAUUUUUACAUUUAACCCUUGAAUUCAGCGGUUCUCAAAUGCUAGCUCUAAGACAUCCUGUAUCAGAAUCAUGGGGGAAGAUAGAGUCCCAGAUCGUACUUCCGGAGAUUCUGAUUCUGUUGAAGCUUUCUGAAAUUAAUUGCAUAAAUUUUCAUGUUUUUAUAGUCAGACUUCUGAAUUUUUGACUUGGAAUUAAUCCAGACCCUGAAAGUUAGAACCAAAUCAACUUCAAAAUCAUCAGGACCAGCAGUCCUUUUUUUGAAGUUUCAUGGUUUGCCCAGUAUCUUCAUCUGAAAACUCCAUGACCUCCUUGUUGACUUUUUUCUUUUUUAAUAAAAAGGGACUUGAAGGAGAAUGCCGAACUUGAACCCCAACUGGUGUAAUUGCACAGGAUCACGGUAGCAAAGGGAAGACCUGGUUUCUGUAUUUGUGGUCCCUCUCACCCCUGGAUCGAGUCUCUUAUUCUAAUUAAUACUUUCUCCAAAACCCAGAGCCUUGGUUCCCAUGUUCCAAAGCUUUUAGGAUGACAUAGUCUCUAGUUUUCCUUAUGUCAAGGAGUGGGCAUGAGAUACUUUCUGAAAAGAAUCCUGGUGAGUACUGCUAGACCAUGAUGAAACUUUUACUUUGCCUCUGUUUGCUGUCUAAGGUUUAUGAGACUUUGGUUUUUUAAUAUAAAAUGUGAAAUGUGGAAGCGGGUUGCCUGUGGAUUCUGAGUAUCCAGAAUCAGUGUUUGUUUCAUGGUAUCUAAUUACGAAUGCUAUCCAUGAGGAUGUCAGUGGCUCGGGUGAAAAAGAUACAGUAGCUCUAGUUCUUUAUUACCUUGGUGAAGAUUGUUACAGUGAUGUGAGGAGGCCAAAUUUUAGGGGAAAAAACAACAGGAAGGAAAAGUGACACCAGCCCUCUAUCUCUUAGCCUGCAAAUUAUGACCUGUGGGCCAAAUCAGGCCUGCUGCCUGCUUUUCCAAAUAAAGUUUUAUGGGAACACAGCCACACCCUUUCAUUUAAAUAUUGUCUGUAAUUGCUUUCAAGUUAUAAUGGCAAAAGUCGAGUGGUUGCUACAGAGACUACAUGGCCUACAAAGCUAAAAAUACUCAUUAUCUGCUCCUUUACAGAUAAUGUUUGCCAAACCUGAUCUAGAUUUUCAAAUGUAUUACAGCUGUGCCUGCUUAGUUACUUCUUGCAGUUUGAAAGGACUUUUUUUUAGUAGCCGUUAGUAAUGUUUAAUUCACAUUCAUAAUUCAUUUAAUGGACAUUUUCCUGAUUCCUUUUUAUUCUUACAUUUGGCAAAGGUAUUCCAUAUAUAUAUAUAUAUUUUUUUUUUCCAACAAACUUGCUCUUGGGUUUGUAAAUGCUAUGGUUUUAAAUUUUCUAAUAUCUUUGUUUUGAUGAUUUCAUUAUUUCCUUCAUUCUACUUAUAGACUUAAAAAAAUCCUUGUCUAAAUAGAUUAAGGUAAUUAUUAUUGUUUUUGACCCAAAUAACUCCCAUUUCUUUUGAAAUUAUAGGAAACUAAUAUUUUUAAUUCGAAACACACAGACACAUCGAAGCACAGAUAAAAAGAGAGAAGGAAAACAAAUCAUCCGAUGUCAUCCUGCUGUAGCUAGUGACCAUAACUAUUUUGGAGUUUUUCCUUCUAGUCUCUUUUUUUAAAAAAAUAACAAUUUUAAAGCUUUUUAAUAGUAAGGAAAUACAAUAACAUAAAAUUAACCAUUGUAAUCAUUCUUAAGUGUUCAGUUCAGUAGUGUUAAGUACAUUUACAUUGUCAGGCAACAGAUCUCUAGAACUUUUUCAUCUACCAAAACUGAAACUCUGCACCCAUUAAACAAGUCCUCACUUCCCCUUCCCCCAGCCUCUGGCAACCACCAUUCUACUUUCAUCUUUAUGAAUUCCACGACUCCAGGUACCUCAUCUAAGUGGAAUCACACAGUAUUUGUCUUUUUGUGACUGGCUUAUUUCACUUAGCUUAACGUCCUGCAGGUUUAUGUUGUUGUUGUAGCAUGUGUCAGAAUUUCUUUCUUUUUAUCAAAGCUGAAUAAUAAUGUAUGGAUAGAACACAUUUUAUUUAUCAGUUUUUCUGUUGAUAGACGCUAGGGUUGCUUCCCCCUCUUGGCUAUUGUGAAUUAUGCUGCUGUGAACAUGGGUAUGCAAAUAUCUCUUUGAGAUCUUGCUUUCAAUUCUUUCGGAUAUAGAAGUAAAAGUGGGAUUGCUGGGUCCUAUGGUAAUUCUGUUUUCAUUUUUUGAGGAACCUCCAUGCUGUUUCUGGUAGGCACUGUACCAAUUUAGUCUCCUAUUUGAGGCACAUGCGUUUCAGUAGUUUGUUCAAGUCAUUAUUUUCUUUAAGUAAAAUUUAAAUAAAUGUUGCUCAACUAAAACCCCUUCUCUAUACCCUAUAGAAAAUAUAAUCCUCUGCUCCAAAUGUGUCUGUCUCAAAGACUUUUAUUCUCAAGUUUGCAUCAAUUUCUUCCCUCAUUGUUUUCCUUUCUUUUCUCAUUUUUUUCUGGGAGUAUUUAUCAACUUUAUUCUUAUAUUGCUAGUCAGUUAUAAGUUACCUGCCACCUGCUAAUUUCAAUUUAACAGCAUGCUUUUUAUUUCCUUGAAGUCUCUUUUUCUCCUGACCUGCUUGCUGUUUAAUAAGACAAAUAGAUUGAGAAAAUAAAUGCUUUCUUAACAAAUGAGAUUUCAAAAACCCUCACCACUGAGCUGCUGGUGGAUUAAAAAAAUUUUUUUUCUCUCAGCAUUUAGAUGAGAUUUUCUAUCUUAUUGCUGUUGACAG